AUAAUUAUUAAGCGUACAGAGACGUAUUUCGGCUUGUCGCGUGUGAAAUGCAAUCCCUCGACUCAACCUCGGGUGUGCAGAGGGGACGGGCAGACUAGAGUGCGGUAGGAUAGAUUUGAAUUCCUGGUGUAGCGGUGCAUGCGCAGAUAUCAGGAGGAACAUCGCUAGCGAAGACAGAUCUGCGGGCCGUGACUGACGCUGAGGAGAGAAAGGGUGGCGAGCAAACAGGCUUAGAUACCCUGGUAGUCCACCCCGUAAACGUUGGGAACUAGUUGUGGGGUCCAUUCCACGGAUUCCGUGACGCAGCUAACGCAUUAAGUUCCCCGCCUGGGGAGUACGGCCGCAAGGCUAAAACUCAAAGGAAUUGACGGGGACCCGCACAAGCGGCGGAGCAUGCGGAUUAAUUCGAUGCAACGCGAAGAACCUUACCAAGGCUUGACAUAUACGAGAACGGGCCAGAAAUGGUCAACUCUUUGGACACUCGUAAACAGGUGGUGCAUGGUUGUCGUCAGCUCGUGUCGUGAGAUGUUGGGUUAAGUCCCGCAACGAGCGCAACCCUCGUUCUAUGUUGCCAGCACGUAAUGGUGGGAACUCAUGGGAUACUGCCGGGGUCAACUCGGA
Molecule: ribosomal RNA, 621 nt
Filed under: Microbacterium oleivorans
Lineage: Bacteria; Bacillati; Actinomycetota; Actinomycetes; Micrococcales; Microbacteriaceae
Description: bacterial SSU rRNA
Rfam family: Bacterial small subunit ribosomal RNA
Source: RNAcentral